RNAcentral lists this ribosomal RNA (251 nucleotides) under uncultured bacterium. Its description in RNAcentral is "partial 16S ribosomal RNA". It matches the Rfam family "Bacterial small subunit ribosomal RNA", at positions 524 to 776 of the family's 1533-position model. The record is from RNAcentral.
UACGUAGGGCGCAAGCGUUGUCCGGAAUUAUUGGGCGUAAAGCGCGCGCAGGCGGUCCUUUAAGUCUGAUGUGAAAGCCCACGGCUCAACCGUGGAGGGUCAUUGGAAACUGGGAGACUUAGUGCAGAAGAGGAAAGUGGAAUUCCAUGUGUAGCGGUGAAAUGCGUAGAGAUAUGGAGGAACACCAGUGGCGAAGCGACUUUCUGGUCUGUAACUGACACUGAGGCGCGAAAGCGUGGGGAGCAAACAGG